UUCCUGUUUUUGUUUCAAAACUUACAGGUUGUUGGAGUGUACAAGAUAUUUUAUUGGACUUGCCAUUCAAAGUGUCUGAUUCCAGCAUCAACAUGCAGAAGGUUUGAUGAACCCAACAAACACAUCAAAAUGGAAAUCAAGCCUAGGUCUGGGAAGAACAACACACUUGAGAAUUAGAUCUGGGAGGAGGGGGAGGAUCAACACAUACCCUGGUGAGUGUUCUCUGCUCUUGGAUCUCUGCCUUGGUCCAUGAUGAGUUAUCUUUUGUGCUCUCAGAGUUCUUCAAAUUUUCUUUUUUCUCAGUUUUGAGUGGUCCGAGGAGAAAGAUGAGGGAGUGGCGGCGUGGAGGGGUGGGGAGUGGGGAGGAGACUGAUUAGGGGGUGCGUCUUAGGGUUCCUCUAUCAACUGGGAGGAAGAGGAGAGGGAGAAAAGUAGAGCAGCUUUUGUCUUCUCUUUUUGUGUGUAGCCUAUCCUCUCUCCUUUUUGUUCUUUUUUUUGCUUUACGACACGAGAGACAGUUGUCCACGACCCAAAAGAACACACAAACAAGGACAAA
Hordeum vulgare subsp. vulgare (domesticated barley) is the source of this 556-nucleotide long non-coding RNA. RefSeq lists it as uncharacterized. The record is from RefSeq and is a predicted model, not a curated record. The transcript is spliced from 2 exons. Lineage: Eukaryota; Viridiplantae; Streptophyta; Magnoliopsida; Poales; Poaceae.